RNAcentral lists this ribosomal RNA (494 nucleotides) under uncultured bacterium. Its description in RNAcentral is "partial 16S ribosomal RNA". It matches the Rfam family "Bacterial small subunit ribosomal RNA", at positions 28 to 507 of the family's 1533-position model. The record is from RNAcentral.
GACGAACGCUGGCGGCGUGCUUAACACAUGCAAGUCGAACGGAAAGGCCUGCUUUCCCUUGUGGAUUGCGGGUACUCGAGUGGCGAACGGGUGAGUAACACGUGAGUGAUCUGCCCCCAACUUGGGUAUAAGCCUGGGAAACUGGGUCUAAUUCCCGAUAGGACUGCAGGGUGGUGCCUGUGGUGGAAAACGAUUUUCUAGUGGUUAGGGAUGAGCUCGCGGCCUAUCAGCUUGUUGGUGGGGUAAUGGCCUACCAAGGCGGCGACGGGUAGCCGGCCUGAGAGGGUGGACGGCCACAUUGGGACUGAGAUACGGCCCAGACUCCUACGGGAGGCAGCAGUGGGGAAUAGUGCACAAUGGGCGGAAGCCUGAUGCAGCGACGCCGCGUGGGGGAUGACGGCCUUCGGGUUGUAAACUCCUUUCGACCGCGAGGAAGCCACCUGGUUGGAAGGGUGGUGACGGUAGUGGUAGAAGAAGCACCGGCUAACUACGUG